RNAcentral lists this ribosomal RNA (253 nucleotides) under uncultured bacterium. Its description in RNAcentral is "partial 16S ribosomal RNA". It matches the Rfam family "Bacterial small subunit ribosomal RNA", at positions 524 to 776 of the family's 1533-position model. The record is from RNAcentral.
UACAGAGGUCCCAAGCGUUACUGAGAAUCACUGGGUUUAAAGGGUGCGUAGGUGGUCCGUUAAGUCAGUUGUGAAAUCCCCGGGCUCAACCAGGGAACUGCUUCUGAUACUGGCGGACUUGAGGCCAGUAGAGGUCACUGGAACUGACGGUGGAGCGGUGAAAUGCGUAGAUAUCGUCAGGAACGCCGGUGGUGAAGACGGGUGACUGGGCUGGUUCUGACACUGAGGCACGAAAGCGUGGGGAGCGAACGGG